RNAcentral lists this transfer RNA (74 nucleotides) under Nitrospirota bacterium. RNAcentral describes it as "Nitrospirae bacterium (groundwater metagenome) tRNA-Arg". It matches the Rfam family "tRNA". From Rfam's summary of the family: Transfer RNA (tRNA) molecules are approximately 80 nucleotides in length. Their secondary structure includes four short double-helical elements and three loops (D, anti-codon, and T loops). Further hydrogen bonds mediate the characteristic L-shaped molecular structure. tRNAs have two regions of fundamental functional importance: the anti-codon, which is responsible for specific mRNA codon recognition, and the 3' end, to which the tRNAs corresponding amino acid is attached (by aminoacyl-tRNA synthetases). tRNAs cope with the degeneracy of the genetic code in two manners: having more than one tRNA (with a specific anti-codon) for a particular amino acid; and 'wobble' base-pairing, i.e. permitting non-standard base-pairing at the 3rd anti-codon position. RNAcentral also lists the same sequence under 1 other name. The record is from RNAcentral. Lineage: Bacteria; Pseudomonadati; Nitrospirota.
GCGCCUGUAGCUCAACUGGAUAGAGCGCCGGCCUCCGAAGCCGUAGGUUAUGGGUUCAAGUCCCGUCAGGCGCA